RNAcentral lists this ribosomal RNA (460 nucleotides) under uncultured bacterium. Its description in RNAcentral is "partial 16S ribosomal RNA". It matches the Rfam family "Bacterial small subunit ribosomal RNA", at positions 338 to 795 of the family's 1533-position model. The record is from RNAcentral.
CCUACGGGUGGCAGCAGUGAGGAAUAUUGGUCAAUGGACGAGAGUCUGAACCAGCCAAGUAGCGUGAAGGAUGACGGCCCUAUGGGUUGUAAACUUCUUUUAUAUGGGAAUAAAAUGUUCCACGUGUGGGAUUUUGUAUGUACCAUAUGAAUAAGGAUCGGCUAACUCCGUGCCAGCAGCCGCGGUAAUACGGGGGAUUCGAGCGUUAUCCGGAUUUAUUGGGUUUAAAGGGAGCGUAGGUGGAUUGUUAAGUCAGUUGUGAAAGUUUGCGGCUCAACCGUAAAAUUGCAGUUGAAACUGGCAGGCUUGAGUACAGUAGAGGUGGGCGGAAUUCGUGGUGUAGCGGUGAAAUGCUUAGAUAUCACGAAGAACUCCGAUUGCGAAGGCAGCUCACUGGACUGCAACUGACACUGAGGCUCGAAAGUGUGGGUAUCAAACAGGAUUAGAUACCCCGGUAGUC